Molecule: ribosomal RNA, 969 nt
Filed under: Entomophthoraceae sp. ARSEF 7942
Lineage: Eukaryota; Fungi; Entomophthoromycota; Entomophthoromycetes; Entomophthorales; Entomophthoraceae
Description: eukaryotic LSU rRNA
Rfam family: Eukaryotic large subunit ribosomal RNA
Source: RNAcentral
AGGAUUCCCUUAGUAACGGCGAGUGAAGUGGGAAGAGCUCAAAUUUAAAAUCUGCAAGGUUUUACCUCCGAGUUGUAGUUUGAAGAAGUGUUUUCUGCGGCAGCAUUGGUCUAAAUCCUUUGGAACAGGGUAUCAUAGAGGGUGAGAAUCCCGUCUUUGGUCAAGCGUCGUUGCUCUGCGAUACACUUUUUAAGAGUCGGGUUGUUUGGGAUUGCAGCCCAAAAUUGGUGGUAAAUUUCAUCUAAGGCUAAAUAUUGGCAAGAGACCGAUAGCGAACAAGUACCGUGAGGGAAAGAUGAAAAGAACUUUGAAAAGAGAGUUAAAUAGUACGUGAAAUUGUUAAAAGGGAAACGCUUGAAGUCAGUGUAGCUGGCUGGAAAUCAGCUCGGGAGUUGAGAGUAUGUUAUGUACCUUGAGUUUUUGGGGGUGAAUUGGGUGCACUUUUCAGCUAGCAGGUCAACAUCAAUUUCGCUUGGAGGAUAAAAGCAUGAGGAAGGUAGGGGAAGUGUUAUAGACUCGUGCCGAUACACUGAGUGAGAUUGAGGAACGCAGUAUGUGCUUUUGGGCGAAGAUCUUGGUGUCUAGUUGGGUAGCGGGGAAAGACAGCUUGCUGACUUUUCUCGUAUUGCCUGGCUAAGCGCUAGGUAUUCUUUAUCAUACUAAGGAUGUUGACGAAAUGGUUUUAAACGACCCGUCUUGAAACACGGACCAAGGAGUCUAACAAAUAUGCGAGUAUUUGGGUGGCAAACCCAUAUGCGUAAUGAAAGUGAAUGUAGGUGGGACUUGGCACCAUCGACCGAUCUGGAUUUUAUAUGAUAGAUUUGAGUAAGAGCAUAUCUGUUGGGACCCGAAAGAUGGUGAACUAUGCCUGAAUAGGGUGAAGCCAGAGGAAACUCUGGUGGAGGCUCGUAGCGAUUCUGACGUGCAAAUCGAUCGUCAAAUUUGGGUAUAGGGGCGAAAGACUAAUUU